GACGGAGGAUGCAAGCGUUAUCCGGAAUUAUUGGGCGUAAAGCGUCCGCAGGUGGCCUAUCAAGUCUGCUGUCAAAGACCGGGGCUUAACCCCAGAAAGGCAGUGGAAACUGAAAGGCUAGAGGAUGGUAGGGGCAGAGGGAAUUCCCAGUGUAGCGGUGAAAUGCGUAGAGAUUGGGAAGAACACCGGUGGCGAAAGCGCUCUGCUGGGCCAUGACUGACACUCAGGGACGAAAGCUAGGGGAGCGAACGGG
This 253-nucleotide ribosomal RNA is filed under the name uncultured bacterium. RNAcentral's name for it is "partial 16S ribosomal RNA". It matches the Rfam family "Bacterial small subunit ribosomal RNA", at positions 524 to 776 of the family's 1533-position model. The record is from RNAcentral.